RNAcentral lists this ribosomal RNA (493 nucleotides) under uncultured bacterium. RNAcentral's name for it is "bacterial SSU rRNA". It matches the Rfam family "Bacterial small subunit ribosomal RNA", at positions 28 to 507 of the family's 1533-position model. The record is from RNAcentral.
GAUGAACGCUAGCUACAGGCUUAACACAUGCAAGUCGAGGGGAAACGAUAGAGAAAGCUUGCUUUUUCUAGGCGUCGACCGGCGCACGGGUGAGUAACGCGUAUCCAACCUGCCCAUCACUUGGGGAUAACCUUGCGAAAGUAAGACUAAUACCCAAUGACGUCUCUAGAAGACAUCUGAAAGAGAUUAAAGAUUUAUCGGUGAUGGAUGGGGAUGCGUCUGAUUAGCUUGUUGGCGGGGUAACGGCCCACCAAGGCGACGAUCAGUAGGGGUUCUGAGAGGAAGGCCCCCCCACAUUGGAACUGAGACACGGUCCAAACUCCUACGGGAGGCAGCAGUGAGGAAUAUUGGUCAAUGGGCGAGAGCCUGAACCAGCCAAGUAGCGUGAGGGAUGAAGGCUCUAUGGGUCGUAAACCUCUUUUAUAUGGGAAUAAAGUUUUCCACGUGUGGAAUUUUGUAUGUACCAUAUGAAUAAGGAUCGGCUAACUCCGUG